This is a long non-coding RNA of Oncorhynchus mykiss (rainbow trout), 544 nucleotides long. RefSeq lists it as uncharacterized. The record is from RefSeq and is a predicted model, not a curated record. Lineage: Eukaryota; Metazoa; Chordata; Actinopteri; Salmoniformes; Salmonidae.
GUUUAGGGGUAGAACUGUCCAAUAAAUUCAAGGAAUCAGUUGGGAGAGCGACUAUUGAAGAUGGCUUUAGAAAUGUAUUUAGACCUUUUCAAGGAGAACAACAUUCCUUUUGAUUUCAAAACUGUUUCACUUAUGGAAGCAUUGCCAUUAUGAAGUACCUGGCAUAGAAGCACAAGACCGCAGACCACGGGAAUCCAGCCGACCUGCAGAAGCUCACCCGUGUCAAUGAAGAACUGUCCUGGCAGCACAUGGGAAUACGUAUGCAUGGCUCCAAGAUGUAUUGGCUCAGGCUGUUGAUACCAAAGAUCAUGGGUGUGGAAGUCCCCAAGGACAAGAUGGAUAGAGCCCUGGAGGACCUGGAGGGCUGGUCGAGAACAUGGACGGCAGGUCUUCAAGCCCAAGAUCUUGAGAUUGUUCUUCUGAAUUCUCCAGUGACAGUGCAGUGAAGCUGGUCCUCUGUGAAAUAAUCAAGCUGGAUCUGUUAUUCAGCCACUAUGCACCAUGUAACAUAAUAACAAAAUAAAACAUUCUCUAUGGAAAUUCA